RNAcentral lists this long non-coding RNA (831 nucleotides) under Cicer arietinum (chickpea). Its description in RNAcentral is "long non-coding RNA (CARI_LNC000536)". The record is from RNAcentral. Lineage: Eukaryota; Viridiplantae; Streptophyta; Magnoliopsida; Fabales; Fabaceae.
CAACUAGUGCUUCACCUUUUGAAGUAGUAGGUACUUCAGAUGUCUUUUGCAUUUUUCUUUGUGAAGAUCUAGUUUUCGCUAUAGCUGCAUUCGGUUUCGGUGUUUCAAUUUUUGCUUCCUCUUUUGGCUCGUUGUCCGGAGUUGUAGGUACUUCAGAUAUCUUUUGCCUUUUUCUCUGUGAAGAUCUAGUUUUCGCUAUAGCUGCCUUUGGUUUCAGUGAUUCAAUUUUUGCUUCCUCUUUUGGCUCGUUGUCCGGAGUUGUAGGUACUUCAGAUAUCUUUUGCCUUUUUCUCUGUGAAGAUCUAGUUUUCGCUAUAGCUGCCUUUGGUUUCAGAGUUUCAAUUUUUGCUUCCUCUUUUGGCUUGGAGUCCGAAGUUGUAGGUACUUCAGAUAUCUUUUGCAUUUUUCUCUGUGAAGAUCUAGUUUUCGCUAUAGCUGCCUUUGGUUUCAGUGAUUCAAUUUUUGCUUCCUCUUUUGGCUCGUUGUCCGGAGUUGUAGGUACUUCAGAUAUCUUUUGCCUUUUUCUCUGUGAAGAUCUAGUUUUCGCUAUAGCUGCCUUUGGUUUCAGUGAUUCAAUUUUUGCUUCCUCUUUUGGCUGGGAGUCCGGAGUUGUAGGUACUUCAGACAUCUUUUCCAUUUUUCUCUGUGAAGAUCUAGUUUUCGCUAUAGCUGCCUUUGGUUUCAGUGAUUCAAUUUUUGCUUCCUCUUUUGGCUCAGAGUCUGGAGUUGUAGGUACUUCAGAUAUCUUUUGCAUUUUCUUCUGAGAAGACCUAGUUUUCCUUAUAGUUGUCUCUAGUUUCAGUGUUUCAACUUUUGCUUCCUCUUUGGACU